UCUCUGUUAGUAUAUCGGUUAGUACACGCGCCUGUCACGACACAAGGCCGUGCGCGCGAAAGCGGGGUUCGACUCCCCGACAGAGAG
This is a non-coding RNA of Trametes gibbosa, 87 nucleotides long. NCBI's taxonomy places the organism in Eukaryota, Fungi, Basidiomycota, Agaricomycetes, Polyporales, Polyporaceae. The record is from the annotation of a GenBank genome assembly.